This 514-nucleotide ribosomal RNA is filed under the name uncultured bacterium. RNAcentral describes it as "bacterial SSU rRNA". It matches the Rfam family "Bacterial small subunit ribosomal RNA", at positions 26 to 518 of the family's 1533-position model. The record is from RNAcentral.
AGGACGAACGCUGGCGGCGUGCCUAAUACAUGCAAGUCGAACGCUCCUACCGGUGCUUGCACCGGGAAAGAAGAGUGGCGGACGGGUGAGUAACACGUGGGUAACCUACCUACAAGCGGGGGAUAACAUUCGGAAACGGAUACUAAUACCGCAUAGAUCUUUUUGUCUCCUGGCAGAAGGAAGAAAGACGGUUUCGGCUGUCACUUGUAGAUGGACCCGCGGCGCAUUAGUUAGUUGGUGAGGUAAUGGCUCACCAAGACGAUGAUGCGUAGCCGACCUGAGAGGGUGAUCGGCCACACUGGGACUGAGACACGGCCCAGACUCCUACGGGAGGCAGCAGUAGGGAAUCUUCCGCAAUGGACGAAAGUCUGACGGAGCAACGCCGCGUGAGUGAAGAAGGUUUUUUCCGGAUCGUAAAACUCUGUUGUUAGAGAAGAACAAGGAUGAGAGUAACUGCUCGUCCCUUGACGGUAUCUAACCAGAAAGCCAUGGCUAACUACGUGCCAGCAGCAGC